RNAcentral lists this unclassified non-coding RNA (396 nucleotides) under soil metagenome. RNAcentral describes it as "partial contains 5.8S ribosomal RNA, internal transcribed spacer 2, and large subunit ribosomal RNA". The stretch from base 1 to 122 matches the Rfam family "5.8S ribosomal RNA", at positions 35 to 154 of the family's 154-position model. The record is from RNAcentral.
GAUGAAGAACGUAGCGAAAUGCGAUACUUGGUGUGAAUUGCAGAAUCCCGUGAACCAUCGAGUCUUUGAACGCAAGUUGCGCCCGAAGCCAUUAGGCCGAGGGCACGCCUGCCUGGGUGUCACACACCGUUACCCUCGCGCCAACGUCCAUCGUUGGCCGCGGCGCGGGGCGUGCGCUGACCUCCCGCGAGCGGGGUCUCGUGGUUGGUUGAAAAUCGAGUUCGCGGUCGAGGGUGCCGUGAUGAAAUGGUGGAUGGGCGACGCCCGAGGCCAAUCAUGCGCGACUCCGUCCGGCUCGGACUCCUGGACCCCUUCGGCGUCUCCGGACGCUCUUUGGCGAGACCUCAGGUCAGGCGGGGCUACCCGCUGAGUUUAAGCAUAUCAAUAAGCGGAGGA